AUACGUAGGGGGCGAGCGUUGUCCGGAAUGAUUGGGCGUAAAGGGCGCGUAGGCGGCCCGGUAAGUCUGGAGUGAAAGUCCUGUUUUUAAGAUGGGAAUUGCUUUGGAUACUGUCGGGCUUGAGUGCAGGAGAGGUAAGUGGAAUUCCCAGUGUAGCGGUGAAAUGCGUAGAGAUUGGGAGGAACACCGGUGGCGAAGGCGACUUACUGGACUGUAACUGACGCUGAGGCGCGAAAGCGUGGGGAGCAAACAGGAUGAGAUACCCUGGUAGGCCACGCCGUAAACGAUGAAUACUAGGUGUAGGGGGUAUCGACUCCCUCUGUGCCGCAGUUAACACAAUAAGUAUUCCGCCUGGGGAGUACGGCCGCAAGGUUGAAACUUAAAGGAAUUGACGGGG
Molecule: ribosomal RNA, 397 nt
Filed under: uncultured bacterium
Lineage: Bacteria
Description: partial 16S ribosomal RNA
Rfam family: Bacterial small subunit ribosomal RNA
Source: RNAcentral